ACUUGUGGCGUGUAAAAUGUGGAACCAAAAGGGGCAUCCUAGAUGUAGAGAAGUUGAAAAAAGGUGAGGCAUGUAUUGAGUAUAAAGGCUGCUUGUACAGUCCACCUGAGUUUGAGAAGCUUGCAGGAAAAGAGCCAUGUAGAAAAUGGAAGUCAACUAUUUUCUACAAUGAACUACCUCUGCAGUUUUGGUUUGAGGAAGGCUAUCUAACCACUACAGGAUAUAGACCAAAGAAAAAAAAACGAAAAUCAUGCGACUCAACAGAAGAAAGUGAGGAAGAUCAUGUUGACGAUGAAGAUGAGGAUGAAGAACGGGAAGAUGAGCAUAUGGAUGAAGAGGAUGUUGGUGGUGAUGAGUCUAGCAGUGAGGAUGAUGAGGAUGAAGAAAGUGAUAAUGAUGAAGACGAGACUGCGCCUGCUGUUGCCUCUAACCAUACUGACAGCAGUGAUAUCAAAGAGAGAGUAACAGCUACAAUUCCAACACCUGGAAAACAUGCAUUACAGAUGAAAGAAGUAAAGGGUAUCAUUAACAUCCUUCCUGAGAAGACUAGACAUCAUCCUGACAUGCCAAGAUCUGAAGUCACUGAAAAUCCCAGAGAUGUGGCAAAAAACACAGCAAUCAAACAGCAAAAUGUUAACAAAGAACCUGAAAAGAAACGGAAGAAGACAACAAGCAGCACAAUUUCGACACCUGUGAAACCUGCACUAAAGAUCAAAGAAGAAAAGGGUGUCGUUAAUAGCCUUCCUGAGAGAGCAAGAGAUCAUCCUGACAUGACAAGAUCUGAGGUCACUGAAAAUCCCAGAGAUGUGGCAAAAAACACAGCAAUCAAACAGCAAAAUGUUAAGAAACAACCUGAAAAGAAACUGAAGAAGACAACAAGCAGCACAAUUUCGACACCUGUGAAACCUGCACUAAAGAUCAAAGAAGUAAAGGGCGUCGUUAAUAGCCUUCCUGAGAAGGCUAGACAUCAUCCUGACACGACAAGAUCUGAAGUCACUGAAAAUCCCAGAGAUGUGGCAAAAAACACAGCAAUCAAACAGCAAAAUGUUAAGAAACAACCUGAAGAGGAACUGAAGAAGACAACAAGCAGCACAAUUUCGACACUUGUGAAACCUGCACUAAAGAUCAAAGAAGUAAAGGGUGUGAUUAAAUUCCUUCCUGAGCACCCCAAGCAGAGAAGCCCAGACCUCCACCUCUUUCCCCCCUACACCUCCUCCACCUUGUCCGGGGGAUCGCCAAGGCAUUCCCAGGCCGGCCGAGAGUGUCACGGGUUGCCGGGGCAAGCCGAGUGAAUUAUUAAAGGACCCGAAAUGCAGAUGGUUUCUGAGAAGACUAGAGAUCAUCCUGACACGACAAGAUCUGAGGUCACUGAAAAUCCCAGAGAUGUGGCAAAAAACACAGCAAUCAAACAGCAAAAUGUUAAGAAACAACCUGAAGAGGAACCGAAGAAGACAACAAGCAGCACAAUUUCAACACCUGUGAAACCUGCACUAAAGAUCAAAGAAGUAAAGGGCGUCGUUAAUAGCCUUCCUGAGAGAGCAAGAGAUCAUCCUGACAUGACAAGAUCUGAGGUCACUGAAAAUCCCAGAGAUGUGGCAAAAAACACACCAAUCAAACAGCAAAAUGUUAAGAAACAACCUGAAGAGGAACUGCAAGAACGCAAGGAAGAUCAUGUUGAACAUGAAGAUGAGGAUGAAGAACAGGAAGAUGAGCAUAUAGAUGAAGAUGAUGUUGGUGAAGAUGAGCCUAGAGCUGAGAGAGAUGAGGAUGAAGAAGGUGAUAUUGAUGAAGUCGAGACUGCGCCUGCUGUUGCCUCUAACCAUACUGACAGCAGUGAUAUCAAAGAGAGAGUAACAGAUACAAUUCCAACACCUGGAAAACAUGCAUUAGAGAUGAAAGAAGUAAAGGGUAUCAUUAACAUCCUUCCUGAGAAAGCUAUAGAUCAUCCUGGCAUGCCAAGAUCUGAAUUCUCUGGAAAUAACAGAGAUGUUGCAACAAACACAGCAAUCAAACAGCUGAAUGUCAAGAAAGAACCUGAAGAGGAACUGAAAGAACGCAAGGAAGAUCAUGUUGAACAUGAAGAUGAGGAUGAGGAACAGGAAGAUGAGCAUAUAGAUGAAGAUGAUGUUGGUGAAGAUGAGCCUAGAGCUGAGAAAGAUAAGGAUGAAGAAGGUGAUAUUGAUGAAGUCGAGACUGCGCCUGCUGUUGCCUCUAACCAUACUGACAGCAGUGAUAUCAAAGAGAGAGUAACAGCUACAAUUCCAACACCUGGAAAACAUGCAUUAGAGAUGAAAGAAGUAAAGGGUAUCAUUAACAUCCUUCCUGAGAAGACUAGACAUCAUCCUGACAUGCCAAGAUCUGAAGUCAGUGGAAAUAACAAAGAUGUGGCAAAAAACACAGCAAUCAAACAGCAAAAUGUUAAACAACCUGAAGAGGAACUGAAGAAGACAACAAGCAGCACAAUUUCAACACCUGUGAAACCUGCACUAAAGAUCAAAGAAGAAAAGGGUGUCGUUAAUAGCCUUCCUGAGAGAGCAAGAGAUCAUCCUGACAUGACAAGAUCUGAGGUCACUGAAAAUCCCAGAGAUGUGGCAAAAAACACACCAAUCAAACAGCAAAAUGUUAAGAAACAACCUGAAGAGGAACUGCAAGAACGCAAGGAAGAUCAUGUUGAACAUGAAGAUGAGGAUGAGGAACAGGAAGAUGAGCAUAUAGAUGAAGAUGAUGUUGGUGAAGAUGAGCCUAGAGCUGAGAAAGAUGAGGAUGAAGAAGGUGAUAAUGAUGAAGACAAGAGUGUGCCUUCUGUUGCCUCUAACCAUACUGACAGCAGUGAUAUCAAAGAGAGAGUAACAGCUACAAUUCCAACACCUGGACAACAUGCAUUAGAGAUGAAAGAAGUAAAGGGUAUCAUUAACAUCCUUCCUGAGAAGACUAGACAUCAUCCUGACAUGCCAAGAUCUGAAGUCAGUGGAAAUAACAAAGAUGUGGCAAAAAACACAGCAAUCAAACAGCAAAAUGUUAAACAACCUGAAAAGAAACGGAAGAAGACAACAAGCAGCACAAUUUCAACACCUGUGAAACCUGCACUAAAGAUCAAAGAAGUAAAGGGUGUCGUUAAUAGCCUUCCUGAGAAAGCUGGAGAUCAUCCUGACAUGACAAGAUCUGAGGUCACUGAAAAUCCCAGAGAUGUGGCAAAAAACACAGCAAUCAAACAGCAAAAUGUUAAGAAACAACCUGAAGAGAAACUGCGUCCUUCCUGUGAAGCUCUGCCCGUGUCAGAUGAGUGUGAACAUAAAGAUGUCCCCUGCUCUGGCCACAGUGUAGCUGAAGUACAAUCCAUGAUGCCAGAGAUGAGUGUGGACAUGUCAGAGGCCCGGUUGCCUGGGCCCUCAGCCAGCUCUGGCUUGAAUACAAUGGAUCUUGAUCAACUGAAGAGGAAAAAAAUAAAAAUGCAACUGAAGGUUUUAAAAUUACAAGAAGAGUAUUACACUUUGAAAAUAAAAGAACUGAAAAAAUGAGGAUUAAUGUAAAGCUGACAUUGCAGACAAUAAAUUAAAAGAUCGCUGUUUACAUCCACAAACUGACACACGUUAUCUGGAGGUUUCUUGGGUGGAAUGUUACUUUUGACAAAAGCUACAAAAUCAAGUGUGCUGCAUUUAUACACCGUACUUUGUCGUUGCUGUACUCAGGUUUCCUUUAGUAUUGUUGAUUACCAUGUUUUACUUUGUUAUUAGAAUUAAACAAAUAGCUGAUAUUUCCUUCCUGUAAAAUGUGAAUAAACAAUAUUGAUGCUUUUUAUCUGUAAAUUUUGCAAGUGUUAUGAAACUGUGUUUCCUUUGGACUUUGCCCAACCUGUAGUAAUAGUUGUAAGAAGUAGCCUUUAAACAGCAUCGUGCAAUGUCUUGAGCCACAGCUCAUUUCUUUAUGUUUUGCUUCCAAGGAGCAAGAACUUUUAGAAAUUUGCAAGAAAAUAACAAUAUGUGCUCUUUUACUUUGAAGCAUUGUUAGUAAUACAUCAAUCAUAUCUGUGACAGAUGAGCAUAACUGUUUAAAUUCCAAAGAAAUUAGACCCCCCCAAAAAAUUCAUGUAAAUUUGUCCAACCAUAAUGAGAAAAUAUGAAAUGAAUAAAGGAGAGUUACAGUGAUGUGCAAAAGUCUUGAGCCAGGACACGUCAUGCAGAGAUAUGUUAAGUGUCCAGCUAAUAGAUCUUUGGGCAUCAGUUGGUUCCACAAUAAAAAAAAUUCUGCCUAUCAAACUGUGUUAUCUUUGGAAUUUUUCAUAGAUUAAUCUAAAGAAAUUGGAAG
This is a long non-coding RNA of Oreochromis aureus, 4305 nucleotides long. The record is from Ensembl. NCBI's taxonomy places the organism in Eukaryota, Metazoa, Chordata, Actinopteri, Cichliformes, Cichlidae.